GCCUAGUUAGCUUGGAAAGUAACGCGUCUGUAAUUAAACGCUAGGUGGCGGGUUCGAUUCCCGCACGGGGCG
This 72-nucleotide transfer RNA is filed under the name Diaphorina citri (Asian citrus psyllid). It matches the Rfam family "tRNA". Rfam says of the family: Transfer RNA (tRNA) molecules are approximately 80 nucleotides in length. Their secondary structure includes four short double-helical elements and three loops (D, anti-codon, and T loops). The record is from Rfam by way of RNAcentral. Lineage: Eukaryota; Metazoa; Arthropoda; Insecta; Hemiptera; Psyllidae.